Molecule: ribosomal RNA, 246 nt
Filed under: uncultured bacterium
Lineage: Bacteria
Description: partial small subunit ribosomal RNA
Rfam family: Bacterial small subunit ribosomal RNA
Source: RNAcentral
AGAAUCAACGCUGGCGGCGUGCCUAACACAUGCAAGUCGCACGAGAAAGGGGAGCAAUCCCUGAGUAAAGUGGCGCACGGGUGGGUAACACGUGAAUAAUCUACCUCCGAGUGGGGAAUAACUGAGAGAAAUCUUAGCUAAUACCGCAUAACACUUACGAGUCAAAGCAGCAAUGCGCUUGGAGAGGAGUUUCGCGGCCGAUUAGUUAGUUGGCGGGGUAAUGGCCCACCAAGACGAUGAUCGGUA